CAAUGGAGGAACUCUGAUGCAGCGAUGCCGCGUGAGGGAAGAAGGUUUUACNAUUGUAAACCUCUGUCUUCAGGGACGAAAAAAAAGACGGUACCUGAGGAGGAAGCUCCGGCUAACUACGUGCCAGCAGCCGCGGUAAUACGUAGGGAGCGAGCGUUGUCCGGAAUUACUGGGUGUAAAGGGAGCGCAGGCGGGAAGACAAGUUGGAAGUGAAAUCUAUGGGCUCAACCCAUAAACUGCUUUCAAAACUGUUUUUCUUGAGUAGUGCAGAGGUAGGCGGAAUUCCCGGUGUAGCGGUGGAAUGCGUAGAUAUCGGGAGGAACACCAGUGGCGAAGGCGGCCUACUGGGCACCAACUGACGCUGAGGCUCGAAAGUGUGGGUAGCAAACAGGAUUAGAUACCCUGGUAGUCCAAGGGCGAAUUC
This 424-nucleotide ribosomal RNA is filed under the name uncultured bacterium. RNAcentral's name for it is "SSU rRNA". It matches the Rfam family "Bacterial small subunit ribosomal RNA", at positions 369 to 808 of the family's 1533-position model. The record is from RNAcentral.